This 223-nucleotide unclassified non-coding RNA is filed under the name Melitaea cinxia (Glanville fritillary). RNAcentral describes it as "misc RNA ENSMCXG00005007239.1". The record is from RNAcentral. Lineage: Eukaryota; Metazoa; Arthropoda; Insecta; Lepidoptera; Nymphalidae.
AUAAUGCGAUCUACGCGCUCACAAAUUCUAUUUUGUAAGUUACUUUCUUCAUUACAGUGAAAAUUUUACUCCAUAUAGUUAAGACACUUUACUAAAUGAUGCUUCUAUUUUAGGUGGCACGAUAGCUCUGUGCGAGCUGCAAUGCGAUCUACGCGCUCUCAAAUUCUACUUUUGGAGACGAUAGCUCUGUACGAGCUACAAUGCGAUCUACGCCUACACAAAU